This 862-nucleotide ribosomal RNA is filed under the name Allogalathea elegans. RNAcentral describes it as "partial 16S ribosomal RNA". The stretch from base 739 to 862 matches the Rfam family "Bacterial large subunit ribosomal RNA", at positions 2473 to 2597 of the family's 2925-position model. The record is from RNAcentral. Lineage: Eukaryota; Metazoa; Arthropoda; Malacostraca; Decapoda; Galatheidae.
GAUAGAUAUUAAUUUAAAAUAUUUAAUCUAAGAAUAUAAGGGUAGAGCUUUAUCAUUCAAUAAUAAAUGAAAUAUAAGUUAAUAAGUAUUUAUUUUGAUAAUUAGGUUUUUUAGUGGUCAUAUUUUUAAAGUGUUUUAACUAAUAUAAUUGAAUAAUUUAUUUAUUAGAUUUUAUUAAAUUAAUAAUAUGUUUUUUAAAAUGGAUAAAUAUUAGAAAUAAUGAAAAUAUUAGUAGAAUUAAUAUAUGAGAAAAAAGAAAAGUAUUAAAAGUAAAAUAUGAAAAUAGUUAAGAAAAAAAUAGAGGAACUCGGCAAAUAAGGUUCUUGCCUGUUUAACAAAAACAUGUCUCUAUGAAGUUAUAUGAAGUCUGACCUGCCCAUUGAAAUUUAUUAAAAGGCCGCGGUAUAUUAACUGUGCAAAGGUAGCAUAAUUAGUAGUUUUUUAAUUGAAGGCUUGUAUGAAAGGUUGGACAAGGGAUAAGCUGUCUUUAUUUUUAUUUUUGAAUUUGUCUUUUAAGUGAAAAGACUUAAAUAAGUUUAAGGGACGAUAAGACCCUAUAAAUCUUUAUAUUAGUUUAAUUUUAUUUUAAAUUUUAAUGUUUAAAAGAGUAAAGUUAAUAUAGUAUUGUAUUGGGGUGAUAGGAAUAAUUAGUAAACUGUUCGAAGGUAUAAACAAAAAUAUUUGAUUAUAAUUAUUAGUAGAUCCUUAGUGGAGAUUACAAGUUUAAGUUACUUUAGGGAUAACAGCGUUAUUUUUUUUGAGAGUUCUAAUCGAAAAAGAAGUUUGCGACCUCGAUGUUGAAUUAAAAUUUCUUUGUGGUGUAGUAGUUACAAGAGAGAGUCUGUUCGACUUUUAAAAUUUU